AUGCCAGGAGGCAUACACAAAAAGGUACUUGAAAGCCGUGUCAUGAAAGAUUGCAAUCCAGUUGACGCUCCAAUGAAACCUCGUCUUGAGCUAAGCAAGAAGAGUAAAGUAACUGCUGUUGAUGCAAUAGAGUAUAUUGCAGCGGCCGCUGCGGCGUGUCAAGGUGUGUGGUUAGGGAGGCUACACAGUGAUCUCAUGGAUCGAAAUCCGAAACAAGUGGUGCUCAAUGUUGAAGGCAAGUCUACAACUUUUCUACGUGAGGAUCCAGUGUGGCAUGAUAGGGGCAAGCACAUUGAUAUGGUAUAUCACUACAUAAAGGACUACGUGGAAGAAGGUAAGAUGAAGGUCAAUUAUGUUUGCACCGAUGAUCAGCUGGCGGACAUGCUAACCAAGGCUUUGGAUCGAGAGAAGUUCUUGGAGAUGACAAGAAGGAUCGGCGUCGGAGCUGUAACGUAA
RNAcentral lists this ribosomal RNA (456 nucleotides) under Triticum aestivum (bread wheat). RNAcentral describes it as "partial small subunit ribosomal RNA". The record is from RNAcentral. Lineage: Eukaryota; Viridiplantae; Streptophyta; Magnoliopsida; Poales; Poaceae.